UACAGAGGGUGCAAGCGUUAAUCGGAAUUACUGGGCGUAAAGCGUGCGUAGACGGUCAGAUAAGUCGGGUGUGAAAGCCCCGGGCUCAACCUGGGAAUUGCACUCGAGACUGUCUGGCUAGGGUGCGGAAGAGGGAAGCGGAAUUUCCGGUGUAGCGGUGAAAUGCGUAGAUAUCGGAAGGAACACCAGUGGCGAAAGCGGCUUCCUGGUCCAGCACCGACGUUCAGGCACGAAAGCGUGGGGAGCAAACAGG
Molecule: ribosomal RNA, 253 nt
Filed under: uncultured bacterium
Lineage: Bacteria
Description: partial 16S ribosomal RNA
Rfam family: Bacterial small subunit ribosomal RNA
Source: RNAcentral